UAGGGAAUCUUCCGCAAUGGACGCAAGUCUGACGGAGCAACGCCGCGUGAGUGAAGAAGGUUUUCGGAUCGUAAAGCUCUGUUGUUAAGGAAGAACGAGUGUGAGAAUGGAAAGUUCAUGCUGUGACGGUACUUAACCAGAAAGGGACGGCUAACUACGUGCCAGCAGCCGCGGUAAUACGUAGGUCCCGAGCGUUGUCCGGAUUUAUUGGGCGUAAAGCGAGCGCAGGCGGUUAGAAAAGUCUGAAGUGAAAGGCAGUGGCUCAACCAUUGUAGGCUUUGGAAACUGUUUAACCUGAGUGCAGAAGGGGAGGGUGGAAUUCCAUGUGUAGCGGUGAAAUGCGUAGAUAUAUGGAGGAACACCGGUGGCGAAAGCGGCUCUCUGGUCUGUAACUGACGCUGAGGCUCGAAAGCGUGGGGAGCGAACAGG
This 429-nucleotide ribosomal RNA is filed under the name Bacteroidota bacterium. RNAcentral describes it as "Bacteroidetes bacterium partial 16S ribosomal RNA". It matches the Rfam family "Bacterial small subunit ribosomal RNA", at positions 355 to 776 of the family's 1533-position model. Lineage: Bacteria; Pseudomonadati; Bacteroidota. The record is from RNAcentral.